RNAcentral lists this ribosomal RNA (892 nucleotides) under Aspergillus fumigatus. RNAcentral describes it as "LSU rRNA". It matches the Rfam family "Eukaryotic large subunit ribosomal RNA", at positions 34 to 946 of the family's 3401-position model. Lineage: Eukaryota; Fungi; Ascomycota; Eurotiomycetes; Eurotiales; Aspergillaceae. The record is from RNAcentral.
CUAGCAUAUCAUAGCGGAGGAAAAGAAACCAACUGGGAUUGCCUCAGUAACGGCGAGUGAGCGGCAAGAGCUCAAAUUUGAAAGCUGGCCCUUCGGGGUCCGCGUUGUAAUUUGCAGAGGAUGCUUCGGGUGCAGCCCCCGUCUAAGUGCCCUGGAACGGGCCGUCAUAGAGGGUGAGAAUCCCGUCUGGGACGGGGUGUCUGCGUCCGUGUGAAGCUCCUUCGACGAGUCGAGUUGUUUGGGAAUGCAGCUCUAAAUGGGUGGUAAAUUUCAUCUAAAGCUAAAUACUGGCCGGAGACCGAUAGCGCACAAGUAGAGUGAUCGAAAGAUGAAAAGCACUUUGAAAAGAGAGUUAAACAGCACGUGAAAUUGUUGAAAGGGAAGCGUUUGCGACCAGACUCGCCCGCGGGGUUCAGCCGGCAUUCGUGCCGGUGUACUUCCCCGUGGGCGGGCCAGCGUCGGUUUGGGCGGCCGGUCAAAGGCCCUCGGAAUGUAUCACCUCUCGGGGUGUCUUAUAGCCGAGGGUGCAAUGCGGCCUGCCUGGACCGAGGAACGCGCUUCGGCUCGGACGCUGGCGUAAUGGUCGUAAAUGACCCGUCUUGAAACACGGACCAAGGAGUCUAACAUCUACGCGAGUGUUCGGGUGUCAAACCCGUACGCGCAGUGAAAGCGAACGGAGGUGGGAGCCCCCUCGCGGGGCGCACCAUCGACCGAUCCUGAUGUCUUCGGAUGGAUUUGAGUACGAGCGUAGCUGUGGGGACCCGAAAGAUGGUGAACUAUGCCUGAAUAGGGCGAAGCCAGAGGAAACUCUGGUGGAGGCUCGCAGCGGUUCUGACGUGCAAAUCGAUCGUCAAAUUUGGGUAUAGGGGCGAAAGACUAAUCGAACCAUCUA